AGAGUUUGAUCCUGGCUCAGGAUGAACGCUGGCGGCGUGCCUAACACAUGCAAGUCGAACGAGAGAGAAGGAGCUUGCUUCUUCGAUCGAGUGGCGAACGGGUGAGUAACGCGUGAGGAACCUGCCUCAAAGAGGGGGACAACAGUUGGAAACGACUGCUAAUACCGCAUAAGCCCACGGGUCGGCAUCGAUCUGAGGGAAAAGGAGCAAUCCGCUUUGAGAUGGCCUCGCGUCCGAUUAGCUAGUUGGUGAGGUAACGGCCCACCAAGGCGACGAUCGGUAGCCGGACUGAGAGGUUGAACGGCCACAUUGGGACUGAGACACGGCCCAGACUCCUACGGGAGGCAGCA
RNAcentral lists this ribosomal RNA (350 nucleotides) under uncultured bacterium. Its description in RNAcentral is "bacterial SSU rRNA". It matches the Rfam family "Bacterial small subunit ribosomal RNA", at positions 8 to 353 of the family's 1533-position model. The record is from RNAcentral.